This 70-nucleotide transfer RNA is filed under the name Cynoglossus puncticeps (speckled tonguesole). RNAcentral's name for it is "tRNA-Pro". Lineage: Eukaryota; Metazoa; Chordata; Actinopteri; Pleuronectiformes; Cynoglossidae. The record is from RNAcentral.
CAGAGAAUAGUUUAAUAAAGAAUUCUAGCUUUGGGGGCUAGGGGUAGGAAUUGAAGUUUUCUUUCUCUGA